AGUGAACGCUGGCGGUAGGCCUAGCACAUGCAAGUCGAACGGCAGCACAGUAAAAGCUUGCUCUUACGGGUGGCGAGUGGCGGACGGGUGAGGAAUACAUCGGAAUCUACUUUUUCGUGGGGGAUAACGUAGGGAAACUUACGCUAAUACCGCAUACGACCUACGGGUGAAAGCAGGGGAUCUUCGGACCUUGCGCGAUUGAAUGAGCCGAUGUCGGAUUAGCUAGUUGGCGGGGUAAAGGCCCACCAAGGCGACGAUCCGUAGCUGGUCUGAGAGGAUGAUCAGCCACACUGGAACUGAGACACGGUCCAGACUCCUACGGGAGGCAGCAGUGGGGAAUAUUGGACAAUGGGCGCAAGCCUGAUCCAGCCAUACCGCGUGGGUGAAGAAGGCCUUCGGGUUGUAAAGCCCUUUUGUUGGGAAAGAAAAGCAGCAGGUUAAUACCCCGCUGUUCUGACGGUACCCAAAGAAUAAGCACCGGCUAACUUCGUG
Molecule: ribosomal RNA, 492 nt
Filed under: uncultured bacterium
Lineage: Bacteria
Description: partial 16S ribosomal RNA
Rfam family: Bacterial small subunit ribosomal RNA
Source: RNAcentral